UGGGGAAUAUUGCGCAAUGGGGGAAACCCUGACGCAGCGACGCCGCGUGCGGGAUGAAGGCCUUCGGGUUGUAAACCGCUUUUGAUUGGGAGCAAGCUUUCGGGUGAGUGUACCUUUCGAAUAAGCGCCGGCUAACUACGUGCCAGCAGCCGCGGUAAUACGUAGGUGGCAAGCGUUGUCCGGAUUUAUUGGGCGUAAAGCGAGCGCAGGCGGUUAGAUAAGUCUGAAGUUAAAGGCAGUGGCUCAACCAUUGUAGGCUUUGGAAACUGUUUAACUUGAGUGCAGAAGGGGAGAGUGGAAUUCCAUGUGUAGCGGUGAAAUGCGUAGAUAUAUGGAGGAACACCGGUGGCGAAAGCGGCUCUCUGGUCUGUAACUGACGCUGAGGCUCGAAAGCGUGGGGAGCGAACAGG
RNAcentral lists this ribosomal RNA (410 nucleotides) under Bacteroidota bacterium. RNAcentral's name for it is "Bacteroidetes bacterium partial 16S ribosomal RNA". It matches the Rfam family "Bacterial small subunit ribosomal RNA", at positions 355 to 776 of the family's 1533-position model. The record is from RNAcentral. Lineage: Bacteria; Pseudomonadati; Bacteroidota.